GAACCACUGUGACAUAGUGGUUUGAGUGUUAGACUAUGACUUUGGAGACCAGGGUUCGAUUCCCAGCUCA
Molecule: transfer RNA, 70 nt
Filed under: Phrynosoma platyrhinos (Desert horned lizard)
Lineage: Eukaryota; Metazoa; Chordata; Lepidosauria; Squamata; Phrynosomatidae
Description: tRNA-OTHER
Source: RNAcentral